CAGCUUUUAUUUUUUUCAUCACAUUCCCAGUGGGUCAGAAGUUUGCAUACACUCAAUUAGUAUUUGGUAGCAUCGCCUUUAAAUUGUUUAACUUGGGUCAAACGUUUGGGAUAGCCUUCUCACAAGCUUCCCACAAUAAGUUGUGUGAAUUUGGGCCCAUUCCUCCUGACAGAGCUGCAGUAACUGAGUCCGGUUUGUAGGCAUCCUUGCUCGCACACGCUUUUUCAGUUCUGCCCACACAUUUUCUAUGGGAUUGAGGUUAAGGCUUUGUGAUGGCAACUCCAGUACCUUGACUUUGUUGUCCUUAACCCAUUUUGCCACAACUCUGGAAGUAUGCUUGGGGUUGUUUACGGUUGUCCAUUUGGAAGACCCAUUUGCGACCAAGCUUUAACUUCUUGACUGAUGUCUUGAGAUGUUGCUUCCCCUUUUUCCUCCCUUUUUCCUACAAACAUAACGAUGGUCAUUAUGGCCGAACAGUUCUAUUUUUGUUUCCUCAGACCAAAGGACAUUUCUCCAAAAAGUAUGAUCUUUGUCCCCAUGUGCAGUUGCAAACCGUAGUCUGGCUUUUUUAUGGUGGUUUUGGAGCAGUGGUUUCUUCCUUGCUGAGCAGCCUUUCAGGUUAUGUCGAUAUAGGACUGUUAUUACUGUGGUCCUUUGCUGUUGUUCUGGGAUUGAUUUUCACUUUUUGCACCAAAGUAUGUUCAUCUCUAGGAGACAGAAUGCGUCUCCUUCCUGAGUGGUAUGACUGCUGCCUGGUCCCAUCAUGUUUAUACUUGCGUACUAUUGUUUGUACAGAUGAACGUGGUACAUUCAAGCGGUUGGAAAUUGCUCCAAAGGAUGAACCAGAUUUGUGGAGAUCUACAAUGUUUUGGUUGAUUUCUUUUGAUUUUCCCAUGAUGUCAAGCAAAGAGGCAUUGCGUUUUACGGUAGGCCUUGAAAUACAUCCACAGGUACACCUCCAAUUGACUCAAAUGAUGUCAAUUAGCCUAUCAGAAGCUUCUAAAGCCAUGACAUCAUUUUCUGGAAUUUUUCAAGCUGUUUAAAGGCACAGUCAACUUAGUGUACGUAAACUUCUGACCCAC
This 1082-nucleotide long non-coding RNA is filed under the name Oncorhynchus kisutch (coho salmon). RNAcentral's name for it is "lncRNA (ENSOKIG00005003099.1)". Lineage: Eukaryota; Metazoa; Chordata; Actinopteri; Salmoniformes; Salmonidae. The record is from RNAcentral.